GGACGUGAGGGCGAUCUGGCUGUGACAUCUGUCACCCCACUGAUUGCCAGGGUUGAUUGAGAUGAUCAGGAUGGCUAGACCAGUGUUCCCUUCCUCCCUCAUUGUUCCAUGUGCAUCCUUCACAAAGCUGCACACUCAGUCGAAGAGAACCAGUCUUGAUAGAGAGGACCAGUCUUUUGUCAAGGGCAUGGGAGUAGUUGCAUUCCACUGUUAGAACCUCCAAACAAGGUCUCAAAAUUGCACUUUGUUAAAUAAUCUAUCCAUUCAUUUUUUAUUAUUUUAAAACCAUUUAUAUUAAAAUAAUUAUCAGGAGAAUCAGGUUUGCUAA
This is a non-coding RNA of Callithrix jacchus (white-tufted-ear marmoset), 328 nucleotides long. Lineage: Eukaryota; Metazoa; Chordata; Mammalia; Primates; Cebidae. The record is from Rfam.